RNAcentral lists this long non-coding RNA (3049 nucleotides) under Sus scrofa (pig). RNAcentral describes it as "lncRNA (ENSSSCG00025034361.1, ENSSSCG00065071579.1)". Lineage: Eukaryota; Metazoa; Chordata; Mammalia; Artiodactyla; Suidae. The record is from RNAcentral.
CCAGCACUCAGUGCUCCAUGUACACCGAGUCCUCCACGAGGCUCUUCACUGGAGCUGAUGUUGAUAAGGGCUCCUGGGGACUGAGGGCUCACAGGCACCUGCUGCUCUGCUAAGCGUUCUGCGUGCUUUAUCACACAAACGCUCAGAACAGCACCGAGAGCUGACAGGGACACAAAUGACUCAGCUUAACACGUGACAAGCCUGCGUCUUCACAAGGGAAGGCCUUUCGCACAGUCCCAAGGCCAGGAAGACGGAGGACGAGAACCCAGGAGCCCCCACGUCACCCCUGGGCUGUGCCCCUGCCCUCCAAGGCAUCAGUGACUUGAACAGCCUAGGUAGGGACAAGAAAGGACCUGCCCGUGUCACUCUGGAAGCCAGCCCACCGCAGGCCAGUUCUUACAGCCAGUCCAAGGUGCUUGGCAACGUGGACCUUCUCAAGAAGAAAUUCUGCUUGAAUGGACCAUCUCCAAGGGUUCAAGGCGUCCUUGUCUGCUAAACAGGAAGGCAUGUGUGAUUCUGGCCUCCAGGUGGCUGAGUCCCAGCUAAGAGCCGAGGCAGCCCUGGGCUGUACAGAACCGACAGCAGGGGGUCCUCUGCUUCCUGAAAUGCACAUCUGCCCCAUAGCCAGCCUCCCGCCUUAGGAAAAGCAGCCGGGCUUGUCCCCCAAGCCCACGCAGGCUGUGUCUGUUACUUGCAUCUGGGAUGCCGUGGGGAGUGUGGUACCCAAAGGGUAAGGAGUGUCACCUCGCCUUGGCCAUGUGUGACUCUGGAACUUAAGGACUUCUGUGUCAGAAGAAAGGCACCCCUCUUUGGAACAUUUGCACCUGCAGAACCAGACCCGGGCCCCAGGAUCACGGAAUCCACCGGGGUCAGUAUGAAAUGACCACAGACCUUGCGACCACCAUGGGCCAGCUCCAAUAUGACAAGGCCAUCUGCUGAUGGGCCACAGGCGUUGCCUGCAGAAGGACGCCCAAGGCAACUUGGGUGGAGACAUGGCCAGCUGUGUGACAUUAUAGGGUUUCCAGACCUGGGACCAGGAAGCAGCCACAAGGCUUCCUUCCCUCCAACCAAAGUUCUCAGGGUGCAAAAGGCAGCCUCGCCAACCGGCCUGGCCAAUCCCAUGCUGAGCCCAGCCCUGUGCCUGAUCCGUCAUCAAGGGCAACCCAGCUGGUGUUUCAGGAAGAACCCAGCCUUCAAAGUUGACUUCAAAUUGCUAUGAAUCACCCUAUCUGAUGCAAAUGUGGGCUUGGGUAGACUCGGAGAUAGCUGAUUGCCUCAGAUUAAUCCACAGUUGCCUCGGCAGGUAAUUUACUUCUGGGAGUUUCAGGGACUAAGAAGAACAAGGCAUUUGCAUAAAUAGACUAAACUCAGAGUCCAGGCAGCCAGCCGGUUCUCUGACUGGCAGCUCCUGGUGACAGAGGACUCCCAUGAUUCUGGACCCCACCCACCUAUCCAUAUCCCAUACGUGAAAAGCAUCCUUGAAGUCCGGCCAUGGUCCCCAGCCACUGCCCCUGAUAAGUGGGUGCUCCACCGCAAUGCCCCUCAGCAGGUGGUCUGUCUCUCCACAUUUCCGUGACUUUUGCUGCAACCAAAUUCUUUCUUGCCCUGGGUAGCGAUCCACCAUCAUGGCUCCAGUCACCCUCCAGGUCAACUGGCUUUGUCCUGGGAUGUUCCUUCAUGCGUUUGAAGUGUUCCCUGGCUUCUCUGUGCAGACCAAAGCCCUGGACUUCCUAAUACAGCAGGGUUCUGGAACGCUCCACCAUCUGGUCAGCCUCCUCCAGGCUUCCUUUCCUUACAGCCUUCCUCUGAGAAUGUGGCAGCCAUACCAGGGGUGGGCUCACCAGUAUCACCUCCCUUGUUUCAGCCACUGUACUCCUAUUAAUAUGACCUGGCCUUUUGGACAGCUCAACCGCAUGGUGUCUCGUAAUAAGAUUUAGAGUUAACUAAACACGCCCUUUGUAAAAUGGGCACUGUUUGGCCUCCUUUCUCCCAGCUGGUAGCUGUUCUGUUGAGGUUUGGAGCUAAAUACUACACUUAGUAUUUAUUUCUGUGUGUGUGUGUGUGUGUGUGUGUGUGUGUGUGUAUUUGUAUUUUUACGCCCACACCCUUGGCAUAUGGAGGCUCCCAGGCUAGGGGCCGAGUCAGAGCUGUAGCUGCCAGCCUACACCACAGCUCACAGCAACGCCAGAUCCUUAACCCACUGAGCGAGGCCAGGGAGCGAACCCUCAACGUCAUGGUUCCUCGUCAGAUUCGUUUCCACUGCACCACAACGGGAACUCCCUAUUCCUGUUAUAUAUUGUCGUUUUAAUUUGACCUGUCCUUCCGUCCCUGUCACUCACAGUAAUUUUCUGCCAUUUGGAAACCUGUUACAAACGCCUUCGGUGGCUUGACCCAGGUUAUUAUUUAAAAAGCAUUUUCUGUUAUGGAUGCGGUUAAUCAUUACAGUCAGCAGCUUGCUUUUCUCUACCUUUUUUCAAAAGGCAAUAUGCUAAUGGCUUUGCUAAAAUAUCUUAAAAUGUUAGCGCCGGAAGAGAUGCUAAGGACAUGUGCUUCAAUUCCUUCAUUUGACGGAGGAGGGAACUGAGGCAGAGGGGUGCCAGGGACCAUGGAGACCUCCGAUCUGUGGCAGAGCCAGGCGCUGUGACUCAAAUAUUCCAACCCAGGUAUCCUUUGGAUAUUUGUGCAGAAAAACAAAAAAAAAAAAGAUGAUGGGCAUAUGGCACCAUGUCUACUGGAGGAUUCCAAGAGCAGACAACAGAAUCUUGGGGAGGAGGAGCUUGGUGGCUUAAAAGCCACAGCUGCCCAUCAGCUGAUGAAUAAACACCACGUGCUCUGGCCUUUUCGAGGCAGGUUAUCCAGCAGCCCCGGAAAGAAAUGAGGCAUUGGCUCACAGCAACAUGGGUGGCUCUUGACAAUAUUCUGGUGCGUGAAAGAAGCCAAUCACAAGUAUUGUGUGAUUCCUCUAAUGCAAAACAUCCACAAUAGCCAAACCCACAGAGAGAGAAAGCAGUGCGUGCGUGCCAGGGCCUGCAGAUGGAGGGGGAGACCA